UUUUUUCUUUCUCUCUCAUUUGGGGUGCUAGUGACCUGGGCUCUGGCCCACACACUUUCUGUAAGAAAGAACCCUGGAUGUCACGACUAAGGAAGAGAUCUCGUGUUUAUUCUUCAGUAAGUCACUCGGAUUACUCCUUUUCCUGGAAGCUGUGUCAUAAAUUUCACUCUGCAGUCCGGACAUCCCCAGGAGGCUGCUGGCAGCCUCACAGACUCUCAGCAUAUCAGUGGAAAAGUUCUUCCACUACCCACCUCUCAAACUUAGAAAAAGACUCCUGCUGGUUCUGUUUUUGUCGCAUGCGUGUCCCUGGAAGAGUCAGCGUGGACAGCAAAUGGUGAUACAGUGAUGUGAGCCCAUGAACGGGGGAGCGAGUCCUGCAGACGAUGGACAGAAUGAGGGGAAGCAUUGCCAAGUCCAGGUGGAGUCAGCUGGGCAGGCCUAAACCAACAACAUCCACUGCAGUACCUGAUAAAUAUUUGUUGAGUUAAACAAGCAAAAAUGCAGCUAUAAUCUCUACAUAAGACAGGGAAAUUUAGUCUUUUUGAUAUAUAAAACUUCGUGAUAAGUAUUCAUCUGGCGAGUAUUUCCCCAAACAAAUAAGAACACGACUGUGACGUUUGGGGCAUUGAAAAGUUGGUUGCGAUUUUAGGUAUGUUUAGAUGAACAGUACAUGCUGCUUGGCAUAAAUGUUCACCAUUGACUUAAUCAAUAGUUUUGUUUGCCUCUUUUGAAUUAUAUGAGCUAUUUUGGAUAUUAGAGAUGGUACAAGACUGUUGCUCACCAAAUCGGUGUAAAUGGAUGCAAAUGUUUCCCUGUGAUAAAUUUCCAUGUAGGGAGCUGUGGUUCUUGGAGUGCUACCAAGGAUCUUAUCCUACACAUAGGGUCAGAGAAGUAGAUGCUAAAUAAAU
Molecule: long non-coding RNA, 908 nt
Organism: Balaenoptera musculus (blue whale)
Lineage: Eukaryota; Metazoa; Chordata; Mammalia; Artiodactyla; Balaenopteridae
Exons: 3
Source: RefSeq, a predicted model, not a curated record